ACAUCUGUGCAUCACUUCAUCCUGACAUCUCUUGCCACUGCUCCUCCUUACAAUGAAGGCUACACAGGAGCCCCAUUGUUCUGGGAUAGUCUUUGGCUUGCUGUAGACUGAUCAGCCCUGGCUUUAGCCAGCCACUGGGGCUGGCAUAUCCUGGUACCCUCGGCUGAGUCUGAGCCUCGUCUGGCUUUCUGGGACAAUACUUGCCGGAGGAAGGAGCAGCAAGGAUUCUGCAUGGGAUUCUAGGCUCACCCCUUCCACUCAAACACAGUUUGGCAAACUCGAUGCUGGAACCAUCACCAGGCAAGAUCACCAGUAAGACACUCCUGCAAGGUGGAAGCCACUGAGGAUAUUCUGCUUUGGCGCCCAACUCCACUCCAGAUCAUCUGACUCUUCUUGAGUGAACCAAAGUUUCCCUGAGUCUACAUUUUGCUCAUUUUGAAAGGGUGGGUUUGAAAACAAUU
Molecule: non-coding RNA, 461 nt
Organism: Anolis sagrei ordinatus
Lineage: Eukaryota; Metazoa; Chordata; Lepidosauria; Squamata; Anolidae
Source: RefSeq, a predicted model, not a curated record